UGCAGUCGAACGGCAGCACAGUAAGAGCUUGCUCUUAUGGGUGGCGAGUGGCGGACGGGUGAGGAAUACAUCGGAAUCUACCUUUUCGUGGGGGAUAACGUAGGGAAACUUACGCUAAUACCGCAUACGACCUUCGGGUGAAAGCAGGGGACCUUCGGGCCUUGCGCGGAUAGAUGAGCCGAUGUCGGAUUAGCUAGUUGGCGGGGUAAAGGCCCACCAAGGCGACGAUCCGUAGCUGGUCUGAGAGGAUGAUCAGCCACACUGGAACUGAGACACGGUCCAGACUCCUACGGGAGGCAGCAGUGGGGAAUAUUGGACAAUGGGCGCAAGCCUGAUCCAGCCAUACCGCGUGGGUGAAGAAGGCCUUCGGGUUGUAAAGCCCUUUUGUUGGGAAAGAAAAGCAGUCGAUUAAUACUCGGUUGUUCUGACGGUACCCAAAGAAUAAGCACCGGCUAACUUCGUGCCAGCAGCCGCGGUAAUACGAAGGGUGCAAGCGUUACUCGGAAUUACUGGGCGUAAAGCGUGCGUAGGUGGUUGUUUAAGUCUGUUGUGAAAGCCCUGGGCUCAACCUGGGAAUUGCAGUGGAUACUGGGCGACUAGAGUGUGGUAGAGGGUAGUGGAAUUCCCGGUGUAGCAGUGAAAUGCGUAGAGAUCGGGAGGAACAUCCAUGGCGAAGGCAGCUACCUGGACCAACACUGACACUGAGGCACGAAAGCGUGGGGAGCAAA
This 728-nucleotide ribosomal RNA is filed under the name Stenotrophomonas sp. RNAcentral describes it as "bacterial SSU rRNA". It matches the Rfam family "Bacterial small subunit ribosomal RNA", at positions 56 to 772 of the family's 1533-position model. The record is from RNAcentral. Lineage: Bacteria; Pseudomonadati; Pseudomonadota; Gammaproteobacteria; Lysobacterales; Lysobacteraceae.